Molecule: ribosomal RNA, 675 nt
Filed under: uncultured Bacilli bacterium
Lineage: Bacteria; Bacillati; Bacillota; Bacilli
Description: bacterial SSU rRNA
Rfam family: Bacterial small subunit ribosomal RNA
Source: RNAcentral
CGCUUCUUUUUCCACCGGAGCUUGCUCCACCGGAAAAAGAGGAGUGGCGAACGGGUGAGUAACACGUGGGUAACCUGCCCAUCAGAAGGGGAUAACACUUGGAAACAGGUGCUAAUACCGUAUAACAAUCGAAACCGCAUGGUUUUGAUUUGAAAGGCGCUUUCGGGUGUCGCUGAUGGAUGGACCCGCGGUGCAUUAGCUAGUUGGUGAGGUAACGGCUCACCAAGGCCACGAUGCAUAGCCGACCUGAGAGGGUGAUCGGCCACAUUGGGACUGAGACACGGCCCAAACUCCUACGGGAGGCAGCAGUAGGGAAUCUUCGGCAAUGGACGAAAGUCUGACCGAGCAACGCCGCGUGAGUGAAGAAGGUUUUCGGAUCGUAAAACUCUGUUAUUAGAGAAGAACAAGGAUGAGAGUAACUGUUCAUCCCUUGACGGUAUCUAACCAGAAAGCCACGGCUAACUACGUGCCAGCAGCCGCGGUAAUACGUAGGUGGCAAGCGUUGUCCGGAUUUAUUGGGCGUAAAGCGGGCGCAGGCGGUUUCUUAAGUCUGAUGUGAAAGCCCCCGGCUCAACCGGGGAGGGUCAUUGGAAACUGGGAGACUUGAGUGCAGAAGAGGAGAGUGGAAUUCCAUGUGUAGCGGUGAAAUGCGUAGAUAUAUGGAGGAACACCAGU